GACGCCAUAGCUAAGUGGUUAUAGCGUGCGAUUGCAACAUUGGAUAUUGUAUCGCGAGGUCCCGGGUUCAACUCUCGGUGGUGUCU
Molecule: non-coding RNA, 86 nt
Organism: Mycena floridula
Lineage: Eukaryota; Fungi; Basidiomycota; Agaricomycetes; Agaricales; Mycenaceae
Source: the annotation of a GenBank genome assembly